GUCUGCGUAGCUCAGCUGGAUAGAGCAGCCGCCUCCUAAGCGGCAGGUCAGGUGUUCGAAUCACCCCGCGGACGGCA
RNAcentral lists this transfer RNA (77 nucleotides) under Oscillospiraceae bacterium. Its description in RNAcentral is "tRNA-Arg". It matches the Rfam family "tRNA". Rfam says of the family: Transfer RNA (tRNA) molecules are approximately 80 nucleotides in length. Their secondary structure includes four short double-helical elements and three loops (D, anti-codon, and T loops). Lineage: Bacteria; Bacillati; Bacillota; Clostridia; Eubacteriales; Oscillospiraceae. The record is from RNAcentral.